This 253-nucleotide ribosomal RNA is filed under the name uncultured bacterium. RNAcentral's name for it is "partial 16S ribosomal RNA". It matches the Rfam family "Bacterial small subunit ribosomal RNA", at positions 524 to 776 of the family's 1533-position model. The record is from RNAcentral.
UACAGAGGUGGCAAGCGUUGUUCGGAAUUACUGGGCGUAAAGGGCGCGUAGGCGGCCUUCUAAGUCAGACGUGAAAUCCCCCGGCUUAACCUGGGAACUGCGUCUGAUACUGGAGGGCUUGAGUAUGGGAGAGGGGUGUAGAAUUCCAGGUGUAGCGGUGAAAUGCGUAGAUAUCUGGAGGAAUACCGGUGGCGAAGGCGGCAUCCUGGACCAUUACUGACGCUGAGGCGCGAAAGCUAGGGGAGCAAACGGG